RNAcentral lists this ribosomal RNA (466 nucleotides) under bacterium YSD2005. Its description in RNAcentral is "bacterial SSU rRNA". It matches the Rfam family "Bacterial small subunit ribosomal RNA", at positions 32 to 478 of the family's 1533-position model. The record is from RNAcentral.
GAUAACGCUGGCGGCGUGCCUAACACAUGCAAGUCGAACGGAGAUUUAACGCUGAUGAAGCUUCGGCAGAUUCUUGUUAAAUCUUAGUGGCGGACGGGUGAGUAACGCGUGGGCAACCUGCCUCAUACUGGGGGAUAACAGCUGGAAACGACUGUUAAUACCGCAUAAGCGCACGGUAUCGCAUGAUACAGUGUGAAAAACUCCGGUGGUAUGAGAUGGGCCCGCGUCAGAUUAGCCAGUUGGCAGGGUAACGGCCUACCAAAGCGACGAUCUGUAGCCGGCCUGAGAGGGCGGACGGCCACAUUGGGACUGAGACACGGCCCAAACUCCUACGGGAGGCAGCAGUGGGGGAUAUUGCACAAUGGAGGAAACUCUGAUGCAGCGACGCCGCGUGAGUGAAGAAGUAUUUCGGUAUGUAAAGCUCUAUCAGCAGGGAAGAAAGAACUCGUAAGAGAGAUGACGGAAC